Long non-coding RNA from Brassica rapa (field mustard), 5728 nucleotides. RefSeq lists it as uncharacterized. NCBI's taxonomy places the organism in Eukaryota, Viridiplantae, Streptophyta, Magnoliopsida, Brassicales, Brassicaceae. The record is from RefSeq and is a predicted model, not a curated record.
AAUAUAAAUAUAUUUAAGUUUUUUUCUUCCUAUAAUUGUUUCUAUUUAUAUUCUAAGUUUAUAUAAUAUAAUCUACAAAAUAAUUUUUCCUAUAAUUAUAAUUACAUCAGAUUAUCUAUAUUUAUGAUUUGUUUGAAAGUUUUAAUUUUUGGCUUAUCUAUGAUAAGUUUUUCUUUUUAUAUUUUAAUUAAAUAAAUAAAAAUAAACAUAUUGUCAGGCAGUCAAUUCAAGAGAAUUAGUUUUGAGUUUCACUUAUGAACAAUACAUAAGGAAUAAUCACUUAAGUGAUGUCCCUUUUAAUAUAAGUUGAUGUGUAAUACAAUAUCAAAUGAUUUUAAAAUCCCUAUAAUUAUUUAUACAAUUAAAUAGACUUAUAAGCAUUUACAAAUGAUUUUAUACUUUUAUAAUUUUUUAUAAGUUAGAAAUUAAUUCCUAAAAUUUGAUAAAUAAUUUAUUAUUUAUAUCAAUUUCUGUAAAUGGUUUGUAUUCAUUACUUUAUAUAGUUAUAAUAUAUAAAAAUAAUUAAUCUAACAUUAUUACUCUUUCUAUAAUUUUGACAAUUACUACCAUAAAUCAUUAAUUAUGUAGACUUACCUUUUAUUUUAGAUCAAAUUAUAAUUACUUAAAAUUAAAAUCAUAGACCAUUCAAAUUAUAACAAUUUUCUUACAAUUAUAAAUAGAUUUGUGUCUCUCUAUAGCCAAUCUUGGAUUAUAAUUUGACCAAAAAUCUCUUCUUUUAUUUUGCAAAGACCAAAAAUCUCUUAUAUUUGAUAUAAAAGGAAAUGUUAUAUUCUCUUAUAUAUAUUUGACCAAGAAAAUAUUUACUUGUAAUGUGCAUGCGUCACUAUAUAUAUAAUCAGAAAAAGUAAAGAAAAACGCACCAAACAAAACGCUAAAGUGAAUAUUUUACAACAAAGUUUUAAAUUUACUUAUAAAAUGGUCAUCACUAUGAAAACUUUAGUUCUGUUUGUUUUCACUACUUUUUUCAUCAUAUCUUUUGUUGAUUGUCAUACUACAACUAUGGCUACUACCCCUGCUAGUACUCCUGGUUAUGGAAUAAAUUGGGCGACAGUACUGUGCUUCAAAAUCUCAACGCCGUGUGAUUUAGCAGGGCGAUAUGGAUGCGCAAAGUUUUGUGACCAGUGGGAUUAUUUUUAUGACAGGUGUGAACCGGGUAAAUGUUGUUGUCACAGAUAAGUAGUAUGCGUUCAGAAUAAAAUAAUCUUAUAAACGUAUUGGCAUUUGUUUGAAAGUAACAUCAACAACUUUCAUGCUUUAUUAUCAAUAUAUGAUCAAGAAAUGAAAUGAAUCAAAAUUAUUAGAUUGAAAUAGUUUGAUUCAAUCCAUUUAAUAAUAUUUAAAAAAAGAUUUACGAGAAAAAUAAAAUUAUAUCAGAAUACAACUUUUUCUUAAAAUUUUAAAUUAUGUAAUUAAUCAAAAGUCUCAAAUUACUCUGACUUCCACUUCCAGUCAUACAAGUUCACAUAACCAUGAAAUAUGUAAGACAAUAAUAAUUUAACAUGAAGAGAUGAGGAUGAUUGCUUAUAGUCAAUAGCAACACAACUUGAUGGGGUGAGAUCUUUACUGAGCUGAGUGCUAUGUAAAUAAGAAUUUCAGUAUCUUUGCUCGUGCUGUCGUGCAUCAUUGGCAAUAAGAAACCUUCUCGAGUCUGAAAAUAUAACAGAUUACACAAGUCCAUAGAGAUCAAGGGGACUCCACAAGGAUUCUUGUGAUGUUUUGAUUCGUUUUUGACUCAUCUUAGUAUCAGUCUUUAAAUUUCUAGUCUAUAUGGUAAUGUAUCUACUAUAUUAAUUUAGAGUUUUAUUUUUUAUCUACUGAUAAAAAUGGUCAUUAAAUUUUAAAAGGUCUCAUAAAACAUAUAACCGUAGUUAGAGCAUUAUAAAUACAUUUAUUAUAUUUCGGUUACUAAAAUGAGUUCCUGUUAAAUAGGAUAUUUGUUUAUAUUUAGAAAUUCCAAUUGAGUAACAACCGUAAUUAAUUCAAGUAUUGUCUAUGCCAUGUUACUUGAGUUUUAAACAAAAUAUCAUGGGCUUUCAAAUUUUAUACGUCGACAUAAAACACAUAAUAUAUUUUGUUUUAUACAAUUUAAAUAAUUAUAAUAAUAUACAACUAUAGUAUGAUAUAAAAUUUAAAAGAGUUAGGGCAUGACUGGUUUCUCUGCUACCAUCCGCAAAUGCAGCUUUUGCGUUUGGUAGCGGUUGUUGAUGUUUUGCAACAAUCACAAAAAACUCCAUAAAUCGUUUAAACCACUAUAAACUUCUAAAAUUCAAAAGCUGAUUCUAGCUAGUGUUUACGGUUGCAAACGGUUGCUGGAGGGCAAAACAAUUUUUUUUUAAAUAUCAUAUAAAUAUGGAAAUAAAAAUGUUCAAUUAAAUUUUAAAAUUGGAAUAAUAAAAAUGCUAAAAUAUAUAUACUAUAUUUUAAUUUAUACUAUAAAUUGAAACAACAAAAUAAUCUAUAGUUUACAAAAAUAGUAUAGAUUUAUGAAUAUAAUGUUUAUAUUGAUUAUAAUAAUAUGAUUUUAAAUUUUUUAAAUUAUAUACGAUGUAAAUAUUUUUAAUUUAUUAUUUAACCACUAAAACUUUUGGUAGUUAGCCAGUCACAAGUAUCCCGCAAACACAUUAAUUUCUAAAUGAUGUACCAGUCGUAUAAAUCUCUUAGUAACCCUUAAAACCGUAACUAUCCGCAUCCGUAAACGCUCGCAACCGCUGUGGUUACACCAGUCAGGCCCUUAACUAGGUUGUUACUGUUUUAAUUUCAACAACUCAUGUACAUAUGUGAACAAAAAUAUAAACAUGUCAGCUUUUAUUUAACAACUCAUGUACUGUUUAGAUGGUUAUGUUUAAAAUUAUUAGUUUUGGAUUUAAAUGGUUUAUUACAGUUUUGUAUAACCAUUCAACUUCUUUUUUUUUUAAUCAUCAUCAUUCGAAUUUGGUUAAAGAUAGUAAAUUUGCUGUAAAAAAAAAAACGAGUUUGUUAAAUCCUAAUUAAAAUUUUCAAUAAAAAAAUCAACCAAAUCCUAAUUAAAUCUAUUAGAAUGAAGUAAAUAUGUGGCCAAAAGAAAAAUAGAUUUCUCAAAUUUUAAUUAAACUGUCAAAAUGUAGUAAAUCUGUGGCCAAAAGAAAAUUAAAUCUAUCGAAUCUCAAUUAAAUCUGUCAAAUUGACGUAAAUUUGUGUAUAUAUAAAAAUAAAUCUAUUGAUGAUACAUAAGUCUAUCAAAAUUAAAUAAAUCUGUGCCCAAAUAAAUUAAAUCUGUUAAAUAAUUACUAAAUCUGUCAAAAUUAAAUAAGUUUGUGGCUAAAACGCGAAAAAUUUGUUAAAGGGAAUUUGUAAAAAUUAAGUAUGUGGCUAAAGAGAAAUAAAUCUGUCAAAAAUAAGUUUGUGACUACAUAAAACGUAGAAAAAUAAGUCUAUUCAAUGGUAAAAUCAUAAAUAGUUUUUUAACAAAAGAACAAAGGGUAAAACAUGUAUAAAAAAUAACUAGUAAUCAAAAUAAAAUUAGAGUUACUCUAAUAAUAAAUGGAUAAAUAAGGGUUAUACUAGGUUUUUUUCCUUUUUGUAACUGUUUUUAUUUUUGUUUAUCAAAUAUAUAUUAAGUAAGAGUUAAAAUUUGUAUAUUUUAUAUAGGCAUAUCUUUUUGUUGCCAAGAUAUACAUCAAUGUAUAAUUGUUCAAAAAAUUCAAUAUAUAAUUUGUUAUAGUCCAAAAUUGUUUGUUGCCAAAAUAUAAAACUAAUCUUUUAGUAUGAUCUGCAUUUUCAACACACAUAAAUAAUUUUUGUCUGCAUUCAUUUUAUUUCAUGAAAAUUGUAUUAUCUGUUCCGAUGAAUGAGAAAAUUUUAUAGAAAAUUUUCAUGUUUACCACAUUGUUGGUACCAUUAAAGGGACAUUUUCACAAAUAUUUUCUUCAUUAAGAGGUAAAAGAUUCUUAUACCCUUGCUUUAUAUAUAUAGUAAGUAAUUAUUGAAAUGAAUAAAUAAAAAAAUAAAUAAAAAUAUUUUUUAUAGUUUUCAAAUUAUACGUUUUCAAAUUCAAAAUUUUUUUUUGAAAUUUAAAAAUUCUUUUUGAAACUAUUUUUAUGAAUUAAAAAAUUAUUUAUUUAUAUAUACAUUAGAGUUUUAAACUUCACAUUCCAAAACCAUAUCCCAUCCCCCAACUCUAAACCCUAAAUCUAUAUUAGUUAACCCUAGGAUUAUAAGUGUUUUUUUACCUCUUUAAAAGUGAGGAUAAAAAUGGUUAAGGUAAACAUGAAAAUAAGUAUUAGGAAUAUGGUAUUUUAGGCAAUUUCCCAAAUUUUAUAAAGUUUAUUUAAUAAUUUUAGAUAAAUACUAAAUAAUAAGAAUAGACAACAAUAUAUUCUUAAAUUUGUUAGCUUUUCAAGUAUAUAGUUUUAUAGUAAGUUCAAGAUAAAUAUUAAAUAAAUAAUGAAAAUAUUGAAGUACUCUCAUUUUAUAGAUUCAGAAGAUAUAUAAUUUUUUUGUCAGACAUAUUAAAACAGACUCAUAUAGACUAUGUAAACCAGACUGGUAGCUCCGUAUCCAUAUGAACAACAAACGAUGGUUGUUUUUUUGCACUGCGUGCGAGACUGUCCGUCCUUGUAUUCUGCAUCUGCGGUAUAUAAAUGAGUACUAAGCUAUUGAAACUUCUCCUAAGGAUCUUUAUGUCUUACAAAUAAUUUGCAAAAGCUUGCCUUUUCUGGUUCCGAAAUCAUCUUCAUCAACUGGAAACAAUCCGUUGCAAAUGCAACAUAAAACUGUCGUAGAUUCUUCAUACAUUCCAUACCCCAAAUGAGAGCUUCUAUUUCUGAGUGAAGUGGCAACUGACUCACUCUUGUAUUCCUAGCUCCCAUCAAACCCUCAUUUUAUCUAUUUUAUGUGGUAUAUAAUUAAAUUUAAAUGAUAUUAGCAUAGAUAUAUAGUUUAUUUUUAAUAUGACUAUCUAUUAAAUAAAGAUUUUUACUUAUAUGGUUUUAUUAUUAUUUGUAAUUUUUAAUAACAAAAAUUUUAAAACAUAGAUAACAAAAUUUUUAAAAUGUGAGACGUUUAAUAUAUAGUAAUUUAUAAUCGUCUUUAAAAAUUAAAUGAAAAUUUCAAAAUUAAAAUAUGAAGUUCUUAUAAUAUUUUUAAAAGUAUUCGGAAUUAAAAUAUUUAUGUAUUUUUAUAAGGUAUAUAAUUUAAUUAAAACAUAUAGUUUUAUAAUUAGUUUAACUUGUCAUAACAAAAAUGUUAAACCAUUGAUACACAAUUUCAUUGUGGGAUUUUCAAUAGUUUUAGUAAUUUAUAGUUUUUUUUAAAUUCAAAAUAUAACAUAUACUGAAAAUCUAAAUUUUUAUUAUUAUAUUGUUACUCUGGUUCUUUAAUUUAUUUAAUAAUAAAAAUUAAAUAAAAAUGAUAGUGGAUACACAAAUUUUUAUGAAAACUAUAUUAUUCGAAAUCAUUAAUUUUCAUAUAUACUUUAGUCACAUUAGGUAGUUCUGUAGUUUUCAUUGAAACAAAGUAUGAAGAACAUUAAAAAUUAUGUUUAUGAUUAGUUAAGUAAAAAAAUUAGUAUAUAUUUAGAUAGACCAACGUAAUUCUCUAAAGAUUUUAAAACAUAUUUUGGUGAUGACACAUGACUACCUUCAAUGUUGUAAUGAUUCUGAAAUAAUAUAUAAUAGAUUUUUUCUAUGAUUUCUACCUAAUUAUAGACAAUAGGCCAAAGGCCAUAAGU